Non-coding RNA from Echria macrotheca, 142 nucleotides. The record is from the annotation of a GenBank genome assembly. NCBI's taxonomy places the organism in Eukaryota, Fungi, Ascomycota, Sordariomycetes, Sordariales, Schizotheciaceae.
GCCCGCUUGGCUCAAUGGUAGAGCGCAUCACUAGUACCUUUCUUUCUUUCCUCACUAAACUGAGGAAAACUGAAACAGCUAUGUUAAAAAUAACUUGACUGGCUAAAUGAUGAGGUCAUCAGUUCGAUUCUAAUAGUGGGCA